This is a long non-coding RNA of Cygnus atratus (black swan), 1132 nucleotides long. RefSeq lists it as uncharacterized. The record is from RefSeq and is a predicted model, not a curated record. The transcript has 2 exons. Lineage: Eukaryota; Metazoa; Chordata; Aves; Anseriformes; Anatidae.
ACGUCUUUGAUUUAUGAAGACUUUUUCCUAGGUAGGACACGGCACGGCUGGAAGUUGGAGGAAAGCGUCUGGGUGUUGGCGUUUCCCUUUCCUGCAGCCUCCGGCCCGUCGGCAGGGGAAGGCAGCGAGGCCGCGGGCAGCGCAGGAGCUGCUCCCUGCGAGGUUCGCGUGCUCCGCUGGCAGGGCAGGCCGUGAGCAAACAGAGGCACGGCCGAGCGUUCUGAGGGAACGUCCUCUGGCAGACGUGGUGGUAGCCUGGCAUCAAGAAGAAGAUUGACAGGAGAAGAGGACCGGCACCGUGGAGGUUGUGAGCAGAGAGAUUUCCGUCAGUGUUUUUUUUGCCGGGAGUAAUUUAUUGGUGUGCUGGAGUUGUUCGGAAUGACCAGAAAAUUUCCAGCCAUGGAGGAGGCUGACAUGGGGGGUAUAGCUCAGUGGCAGAGCAUUUGACUGCAGAUCAAGAGGUCCCUGGUUCAACUCCAGGUGCCCCCUCUUUUAAAUGUCUUUUUCAGCCGGCCUUUUGCCCAGGAAAGCUCAGGGCUUCUGCUCUGAGUUGCUCUGCGCUGUUUUUGUGUAAGUUUGGGAUUUUCUGUAGUGACUCCCUGCAGAAAUUACAUCCGUUGCCCUGUCCAGGCUGCUGUCAGGGUGAUGAAUCUGAACCCGCGGUCAGACACUGGGCGUGUGUAACUGCUUUUAAAACCACCUUGCGGAGGGCUUGCUGCAGGGGGUAUAGCUCAGUGGCAGAGCAUUUGACUGCAGAUCAAGAGGUCCCCGGUUCAACUCCGGGUGCCCCCUUGCAAUUGUGCUUUUUUCAGGAAAAAGUACGAGGCGUGUGCCUCACUUUUAGAUCCUGCAUGCUGCUGCAUGGCCAAAGGGCUGCUCUCUGAACCGAACCCAAGACAGAGCGUUAACCUAAAAAUGCACGGCCAAAUUUGCGUGCAUGUCAGUGACGAGGCAAAGGCACGAUGCCAGUUCCUGGGCUGUAGGAGUCGUCGUUUUGAUCAGGCAAGAGACUGCAGUGGUUCUACGCUUUGUCUCCUGUAUUGAUUCUCUGAAUACACUUUGGCGUGUACAUUUUAAUGCAAAGGAGUCUGUCAAAUAAAAAACCAAUCCACCCAGUGGACAUAAAAUCUGA